UUCCGGUUGAUCCUGCCGGACCUGACUGCUAUCGGAUUGAUACUAAGCCAUGCGAGUCAUUGUAGCAAUACAAGGCAGACGGCUCAGUAACGCGUAGUCAAUCUACCCUAUGGACGGGAAUAACCUCGGGAAACUGAGAAUAAUGCCCGAUAGAACAUUAUGCCUGGAAUGGUUUAUGUUUCAAAUGAUUUAUCGCCAUAGGAUGGGACUGCGGCCUAUCAGUUUGUUGGUGAGGUAAUGGCCCACCAAGACUAUUACAGGUACGGGCUCUGAGAGGAGUAGCCCGGAGAUGGGUACUGAGACACGGACCCAGGCCCUAUGGGGCGCAGCAGGCGAGAAAACUUUGCAAUGUGCGAAAGCACGACAAGGUUAAUCCGAGUGGUUUCUGCUAAAGAAACCUUUUGUCAGUCCUAGAAACACUAACGAAUAAGGGGUGGGCAAGUUCUGGUGUCAGCCGCCGCGGUAAAACCAGCACCUCAAGUGGUCAGGAUGAUUAUUGGGCCUAAAGCAUCCGUAGCUCGUUUUGUAAGUUUUCGGUUAAAUCCAUGCGCUUAACGUAUGGGCUGCCGGGAAUACUGCAUAACUAGGAAGUGGGAGAGGUAGACGGUACUCGGGAGGAAGGGAUAAAAUCCUUUGAUCUCUUGAUGACCACCUGUGGCGAAGGCGGUCUACCAGAACACGUUCGACGGUGAGGGAUGAAAGCUGGGGGAGCAAACCGGAUUAGAUACCCGGGUAGUCCCAGCUGUAAACUAUGCAAACUCAGUGAUGCAUUGGCUUAUGGCCAAUGCAGUGCUGCAGGGAAGCCGUUAAGUUUGCCGCCUGGGAAGUACGUACGCAAGUAUGAAACUUAAAGGAUUGGCGGGG
This 864-nucleotide ribosomal RNA is filed under the name uncultured archaeon. RNAcentral describes it as "bacterial SSU rRNA". It matches the Rfam family "Archaeal small subunit ribosomal RNA", at positions 1 to 873 of the family's 1478-position model. The record is from RNAcentral.